This 432-nucleotide ribosomal RNA is filed under the name uncultured bacterium. Its description in RNAcentral is "bacterial SSU rRNA". It matches the Rfam family "Bacterial small subunit ribosomal RNA", at positions 358 to 782 of the family's 1533-position model. The record is from RNAcentral.
GGAAUUUUGGACAAUGGGGGCAACCCUGAUCCAGCCAUGCCGCGUGCGGGAAGAAGGCCUUCGGGUUGUAAACCGCUUUUGGUCGGGACGAAAAGGUUCUCUCUAAUACGGGGGACUGUUGACGGUACCGGCAGAAUAAGCACCGGCUAACUACGUGCCAGCAGCCGCGGUAAUACGUAGGGUGCGAGCGUUAAUCGGAAUUACUGGGCGUAAAGCGUGCGCAGGCGGUUUGUUAAGUCUGAUGUGAAAGCCCCGGGCUCAACCUGGGAACGGCAUUGGAAACUGGCAAGCUAGAGUGUGGCAGAGGGGGGUGGAAUUCCGCGUGUAGCAGUGAAAUGCGUAGAGAUGCGGAGGAACACCGAUGGCGAAGGCAGCCCCCUGGGCCAACACUGACGCUCAGGCACGAAAGCGUGGGGAGCAAACAGGAUUAGA